This 648-nucleotide ribosomal RNA is filed under the name Sporisorium culmiperdum. Its description in RNAcentral is "LSU rRNA". It matches the Rfam family "Eukaryotic large subunit ribosomal RNA", at positions 50 to 676 of the family's 3401-position model. Lineage: Eukaryota; Fungi; Basidiomycota; Ustilaginomycetes; Ustilaginales; Ustilaginaceae. The record is from RNAcentral.
GCGGAGGAAAAGAAACUAACAAGGAUUCCCCUAGUAACGGCGAGUGAAGAGGGAAGAGCCCAAGAUUGAAAGUUGGCGUCUUUGGCGUCCGCAUUGUAAUCUCAAGAAGUGUUUUCCGCUUCGGACCAUGCCUAAGUCCCUUGGAAAAGGGCAUCAUAGAGGGUGAUAGUCCCGUACAUGGCAUGGAGCGCCCGAAGCUUUGUGAUACGCUUUCUAAGAGUCGAGUUGUUUGGGAAUGCAGCUCAAAAUGGGUGGUAAAUGCCAUCUAAGGCUAAAUAUUGGGGAGAGACCGAUAGCGAACAAGUACAGUGAUGGAAAGAUGAAAAGAACUUUGAAAAGAGAGUUAAACAGUACGUGAAAUUGCCAAAAGGGAAGGGUAGGAGGUCAGAGAUGCGUCUUGGAAUUCAGCCUUGCUUUUUCGCUUGGUGUUUUUUCCAAGUUUGCAGGCCAACGUCGGUUUUGGGCACUGGAGAAGGGUGGAAGGAACGUGGCACCUCUCGGGGUGUGUUAUAGCCUUCUACUGGAUACAGCGACCGAGACCGAGGACAGCAGCGUACUCGCAAGAGCGGGCCUUCGGGCACCUUUACGCUUAGGGCGUUGGCAUAAUGGCCCUCUACCACCCGUCUUGAAACACGGACCAAGGAGUCU